Molecule: ribosomal RNA, 253 nt
Filed under: uncultured bacterium
Lineage: Bacteria
Description: partial 16S ribosomal RNA
Rfam family: Bacterial small subunit ribosomal RNA
Source: RNAcentral
UACGGGGGGGGCAAGCGUUGUUCGGAAUUACUGGGCGUAAAGGGCUCGUAGGCGGCCAACUAAGUCAUACGUGAAAUCCCUCGGCUUAACCGGGGAACUGCGUCUGAUACUGGAUGGCUUGAGAUUGGGAGAGGGAUGCGGAAUUCCAGGUGUAGCGGUGAAAUGCGUAGAUAUCUGGAGGAACACCGGUGGCGAAGGCGGCAUCCUGGACCAACACUGACGCUGAGGAGCGAAAGCUAGGGGAGCAAACAGG